Molecule: ribosomal RNA, 433 nt
Filed under: uncultured bacterium
Lineage: Bacteria
Description: partial 16S ribosomal RNA
Rfam family: Bacterial small subunit ribosomal RNA
Source: RNAcentral
AACGAACGCUGGCGGCAUGCCUAACACAUGCAAGUCGAACGAGACCUUCGGGUCUAGUGGCGCACGGGUGCGUAACGCGUGGGAACCUGCCCUUAGGUUCGGAAUAACUCCCCGAAAGGGGUGCUAAUACCGGUUAAUGUCUUCGGACCAAAGAUUUAUCGCCGUUGGAUGGGCCCGCGUUGGAUUAGCUAGUUGGUAGGGUAAAAGCCUAUCAAGGCGACGGUCCAUAGCUGGCCUGACAGGAUGAUCAGCCAAACGGGGACUGAGACACGGCCCAGACUCCUACGGGAGGCAGCAGUGGGGAAUAUUGGACAAUGGGCGAAAGCCUGAUCCAGCAAUGCCGCGUGAGUGAUGAAGGCCUUAGGGUUGUAAAGCUCUUUUACCCGGGAUGAUAAUGACAGUACCGGGAGAAUAAGCUCCGGCUAACUCCGUG